GAUCAUUACUCUACGUUUAACUGUGCUUAGAUUUUGUUUAAUCUAUCGUAGAUUGUGCGCUGGGAAGCUUUGGUUGGAAUUGUAAAGACGGUUGUGUUAGUGGAUACUACGGUUAUUUGUGCCGGAGUGAAUGCAAAUGUGAUGCUCAUCAUUGUGAUUCAGCUACCGGUUGCAAAAGAGAUGUUCAUAAGUACAACACUAGUGAAACAAUGUUUCACAACAAUUCAACAGCAGAGACAAUCAGGCAGGAAGCAGGACAAACAGAAGUCACAAAGAAGUAUGUACAGACAAGCAUAUCUAGAUUAACAUCGACAAGUACCACACGUGUUAAAGAAGACUGUACUAGUGGAUACUACGGUUAUCUGUGUCGUAUUGAAUGCGAAUGUGAAGCUGAUCAUUGUGACCCGGUUACUGGAUGCACAGAAUCCGUUCAUGAGUACACAACUGAAGGUAUGUCUCUAGAAGAUUCUACAACACAGUCCUACUCUAAAUUUUGUAUUUAUUAUAGGAGUUAUGGAAUUGAUCACUCUUCGUUAUCUUCACCUUUUGAUAUACAAGGACAAAAUUAUUGAAAUUAAACCCAAGAUAUACAUAUGUACUAUACACUCUAGAAAGAAUGUUUCUCAUGAAAAACAUUCAUACCAUCAUGGCAUCAUUCAUACCAGUACAAUUGCCUACAGUAACUAGAUAUGUCUCUUUUCGAUACCAUGGUUUUUUUUAAGAUUGAUUGAGUUUCAUUAUUAUUGUUUUUCCAUCUACAACUAUCAUUUUAUUUUCACUUCUAAUUCCGUGCAUUCCCUGAAAUACCAAUCACUACACAUGUUAAUGAUCGUAAGAAUUCACGGUCCGCGGGUUGAGAAUUGAACGCACGGUAAUCCAGUUGCUUACAUCGUAAGUAUCAAAUUAUUUCGAGCCUUGAAUGAAUUGUUUUACAAUGGGUUUGGUUUCUUAGCACAAAAGCAUAGGAUUUUCUUAUAUUAAAAUUCCAUGAUGAUACAUAUAUUUUGUUAUGUUGAAGAUGACCAUUGUUUCCAAGGAACUGUAAUUCAACAGACUGUGACUUUAAGUGUAGAAAAGUAUACGUUCGGACAACGAAGCCGAAUUCGCUCCUUCCUCUUCAACGAUUAGCGCAGUACUUUUGGAGAACUUAACAAUCAUAAUAAAAAUAAUCUUAAUUUAUUCAGCAUUGUAUUAUUAAUUAUCAUAAAAGCUAGUUUACAUUAUAAUCCUCUCUUCAGGGCUAAAGCAUAGGUCUUCAAUAUCCCUUGGUUAUCGGAAGAG
Ostrea edulis (European flat oyster) is the source of this 1281-nucleotide long non-coding RNA. RefSeq lists it as uncharacterized. NCBI's taxonomy places the organism in Eukaryota, Metazoa, Mollusca, Bivalvia, Ostreida, Ostreidae. The record is from RefSeq and is a predicted model, not a curated record. The transcript is spliced from 3 exons.